Molecule: long non-coding RNA, 753 nt
Organism: Microplitis demolitor
Lineage: Eukaryota; Metazoa; Arthropoda; Insecta; Hymenoptera; Braconidae
Exons: 3
Source: RefSeq, a predicted model, not a curated record
CCUAUACGAUACUUUAUUAUAUUUAGCGAUAUUUGAAAUAAUUAUUUUACGUUAACAAUGGAAAGUAAAAUUACAAGUUAGUCAACGUAAAUCCGUUAAAGUAUAUUUAUUUUCAAUGCAUUUAAAACAAAUCAUAGUGAUUUUUUUAUUAGUUAAAGUGAUGAAUAGUAAAAUAAAACUUAACGAUUCAGCUCUGGAAGACUCAGCGAUCAAUUUCUAUCGUCAAGUGGUCGACAACCCCGAUUUUACAUGAAUAUCAAAUAUGUGAACCGCCACAGCUUGGACACAUCAAAAGAGAGCAGAACGGAAAUAAAGAAGGCCAAAUAAGAAGCAAACUAAAAUUUUAAACAAGAAAAAGGCACUUCGAACGGUGCAGGUACUGCAGAUUAAAUUUUGAUAAGGCGUUGCUGAGAUAUCGUGAUCGAUCCGACCUGCCUUUAAAUUAUAGCGUUAAAUUAUGGCGGUGUAUGAACAUACUUAUAAAAAUGAAUAAAAACAAAUUUUUUUUUAUAAUUCAAGCCGUCAUUUAUCAUCCCUAACAGUGUUUGUAUACUUAUCUUUCAUAGCAAGCUCACAAGAAAUUAUCAUCAUUAAAAAAAUUGUUGAGUAAACGCGGAUUAGAGUCCAGAAUACAUGCAAAGCAAAUGAUUUUUUAUUUAUUUAAGCCCCUCGGAGUACACUUUUUUCAAGGGGGAGUUUUGUUUAUAUUAUUUAUGAAAAAAAAACUCCACGGAAUAAAAUACGAGAAAUGAA